RNAcentral lists this ribosomal RNA (468 nucleotides) under uncultured bacterium. Its description in RNAcentral is "partial 16S ribosomal RNA". It matches the Rfam family "Bacterial small subunit ribosomal RNA", at positions 27 to 507 of the family's 1533-position model. The record is from RNAcentral.
GGACGAACGCUGGCGGCGUGCUUAACACAUGCAAGUCGAACGGAAAGGCCCUGCUUUUGUGGGGUGCGCGAGUGGCGAACGGGUGAGUAACACGUGAGUAACCUGCCCUUGACUUUGGGAUAACUUCAGGAAACUGGGGCUAAUACCGGAUAGGAGCUCCUGCUGCAUGGUGGGGGUUGGAAAGUUUCGGCGGUUGGGAUGGACUCGCGGCUUAUCAGCUUGUUGGUGGGGUAGUGGCUUACCAAGGCUUUGACGGGUAGCCGGCCUGAGAGGGUGACCGGCCACAUUGGGACUGAGAUACGGCCCAGACUCCUACGGGAGGCAGCAGUGGGGAAUAUUGCACAAUGGGCGGAAGCCUGAUGCAGCAACGCCGCGUGCGGGAUGACGGCCUUCGGGUUGUAAACCGCUUUCGCCUGUGACGAAGCGUGAGUGACGGUAAUGGGUAAAGAAGCACCGGCUAACUACGUG